Molecule: ribosomal RNA, 478 nt
Filed under: uncultured bacterium
Lineage: Bacteria
Description: partial 16S ribosomal RNA
Rfam family: Bacterial small subunit ribosomal RNA
Source: RNAcentral
GACGAACGCUGGCGGCGUGCUUAACACAUGCAAGUCGAGCGGUAAGGCCCUUCGGGGUACACGAGUAGCGAACGGGUGAGUAACACGUGGGUGAUCUGCCCUGCACUUCGGGAUAAGCCUGGGAAACUGGGUCUAAUACCGGAUAGGACUCCGGACUGCAUGGUCUGGGGUGGAAAGCUUUUGCGGUGUGGGAUGGGCCCGCGGCCUAUCAGCUUGUUGGUGGGGUGAUGGCCCACCAAGGCGACGACGGGUAGCCGGCCUGAGAGGGUGACCGGCCACACUGGGACUGAGAUACGGCCCAGACUCCUACGGGAGGCAGCAGUGGGGAAUAUUGCACAAUGGGCGCAAGCCUGAUGCAGCGACGCCGCGUGAGGGAUGACGGCCUUCGGGUUGUAAACCUCUUUCAGCACAGACGAAGCGCAAGUGACGGUAGGUGCAGAAGAAGGACCGGCCAACUACGUGCCAGCCGCCGCCGUAA